GGUCAAGCUACAAAGGGCGCAUGGUGAAUGCCUUGGCAUCAGGAGCCGAUGAAGGACGCGAUAAGCUGCGAUAAGCUUCGGGUAGACGCACAUAGUCAGAGAUCCGAAGAUUUCCGAAUGAGGAAACUCACAUGGGAAACCCCAUGUAUCAUAAAGUGAAUACAUAGCUUUAUGAAGGUAAACCCAGGGAACUGAAACAUCUAAGUACCUGGAGGAAGAGAAAGAAAAAUCGAUUUUCUUAGUAGCGGCGAGCGAAAAGGAAAGAGCCCAAACCAGAGAUUUAUCUCUGGGGUUGCGGACAGAACAUAACGAGAAAUUAUGGUUAACCGAACACAACUGGAAAGUUGGACCGCAGGGGGUAAUAGUCCCGUAAGUGAAAAUUAUGAUAAUCAGUUCUGCACCAGAGUACCACGAGACACGUGAAACCUUGUGGGAAGCAGGGAGGACCACCUCCCAAGGCUAAAUACUACCUGAUGACCGAUAGUGAAGCAGUACCGUGAGGGAAAGGUGAAAAGAACCCCGGGAGGGGAGUGAAAUAGAACCUGAAACCAUGUGCCUACAACCGAUCAAAGCACCUUAUGUGUGUGAUGAUGUGCUUUUUGUAGAACGAGCCAACGAGUUACGGUAUGUAGCGAGGUUAAGUACUUAAGGUACGGAGCCGAAGGGAAACCGAGUCUUAAUAGGGCGACUAGUUGCAUGCUGUAGACCCGAAACCGGGUGACCUAUCCAUGGCCAGGUUGAAGCGAGGGUAAAACCUCGUGGAGGACCGAACCACGUUGCUGUUGAAAAAGCAUGGGAUGAGCUGUGGAUAGCGGAGAAAUUCCAAUCGAACUCGGAUAUAGCUGGUUCUCCUCGAAAUAGCUUUAGGGCUAGCGUCGGAAAAUGUGAGUAGUGGAGGUAGAGCACUGAAUAGGAUAGGGGGCAUAGCGCUUACCGAACCUUAUCAAACUCCGAAUGCCAUAUACUAUCAGUCCGGCAGUCAGACUAUGAAAGAUAAGUUCCAUGGUCAAAAGGGAAACAGCCCAGAUCGUCAGCUAAGGUCCCAAAGUGUAAGUUAAGUGGAAAAGGAUGUGGGAUUUCUAAGACAACUAGGAUGUUGGCUUAGAAGCAGCCACUCAUUAAAAGAGUGCGUAAUAGCUCACUAGUCAAGAGAUCCUGCGCCGAAAAUGUCCGGGGCUCAAACUUACCACCGAAGCUACGGGUUCACAAUUUAUUGUGAGCGGUAGAGGAGCGUCGUAAUCGGGCUGAAGUCGUACCGAAAGGAGCGGUGGACUGAUUACGAGUGAGAAUGUUUGGCAUUAGUAGCGAGAUGUAGGUGAGAAUCCUACAGGCCGAAUAUCUAAGGUUUCCUGAGUAAAGUUUGUCUUCUCAGGGUUAGUCGGGACCUAAGGCGAGGCCGAAAGGCGUAGUCGAUGGACAAUUGGUUGAUAUUCCAAUACCACUAUAAUCGUUAUUAUCGAUGGUGUGACGGAGAAGGAUAGGAUGUGCUAACUAUUGGAUGUUAGUCUAAGCGUUUAGGGAGUUAGGAUAGGCAAAUCCGUUCUAACAAUUCUGAGGCGUGAUGGGGAAGGUUCCACGGAACCGAAGUAUCUGAUUCCAUGCUUCCAAGAAAAGCAUCUAGAGAGAGAAGUAGUGCCCGUACCGCAAACCGACACAGGUAGAUGAGGAGAGAAUCCUAAGGCCGACGGAAGAAUUGCAGUUAAGGAACUAGCAAAUUGACCC
This 1722-nucleotide ribosomal RNA is filed under the name Clostridium saccharobutylicum. RNAcentral describes it as "partial 23S ribosomal RNA". It matches the Rfam family "Bacterial large subunit ribosomal RNA", at positions 1 to 1728 of the family's 2925-position model. Lineage: Bacteria; Bacillati; Bacillota; Clostridia; Eubacteriales; Clostridiaceae. The record is from RNAcentral.